ACAUUUACCUAGCAGGGGCGCUACCAUGAUCAUGAAGGGGGUUUUCCAGAGUGAGACUUAUCCAUUGCACUCCAGAUGUGCUGACCCCUGCAGUUUCCCCAAAUGCAGGAAAUUCCAGAGAAAUUUGUAGUAGUGGGGGACACUGAGCUCUCCUG
Small nuclear RNA from Rattus norvegicus (Norway rat), 155 nucleotides. Ensembl annotates it as U1 spliceosomal RNA. The record is from Ensembl. Lineage: Eukaryota; Metazoa; Chordata; Mammalia; Rodentia; Muridae.